UACGUAGGUGGCGAGCGUUGUCCGGAUUUACUGGGCGUAAAGGGAGCGUAGGCGGACUUUUAAGUGAGAUGUGAAAUAACCGGGCUCAACUUGGGUGCUGAAUUUCAAACUGGAAGUCUAGAGUGCAGGAGAGGAGAAUGGAAUUCCUAGUGUAGCGGUGAAAUGCGUAGAGAUUAGGAAGAACACCAGUGGCGAAGGCGAUUCUCUGGACUGUAACUGACGCUGAGGCUCGAAAGCGUGGGGAGCAAACAGGAUUAGAUACCCGCGUAGU
This 271-nucleotide ribosomal RNA is filed under the name uncultured prokaryote. RNAcentral's name for it is "partial 16S ribosomal RNA". It matches the Rfam family "Bacterial small subunit ribosomal RNA", at positions 524 to 794 of the family's 1533-position model. The record is from RNAcentral.